AUGGAUGAGAAAUGGUUCAAUCUGACACAGGAGGAGAACGGCUACUUGCUGCUUCCCGAAGAACCUGAUCCCUUACGCACCUUGCAUCAUAAGGAUAGCAUUGCGAAGGUGAUGUUUCUUGCGGCCGUGGCUAAACCAAGAUAUGGCAAUGUUGGUGUCGUCACGUUUGAUGGUAAGAUAGGCAUUUGGGCCUUUGUCACAGAGUCUCCGACUCAAAGGAGUGAAAAUAGAGAAAGAGGGACACUUGAACUCAAAUCAUUGAAAGUUACAAGAGAUGUAAUGAGGUUCUGUAUGUGUGAGAAACUAAUUCCAGCUAUCCAUGAUAUGUGGCCUGAUGAAGAUGAAGAACGGACCAUCUUUAUCCAGCAAGAUAAUGCUACACUGCAUCUUAAGCCUAGUGACGAGAUUUUUCGACGGGCCGUAGAACAGACCGGUCUGGAUAUCAAGUUGAUCCAGCAUCCUCCAAAUAGCCCCGACCUGAAUAUUCUUGAUCUCUGCUUCUUCAGGUCUCUCCAGUCGCAUACUGAUUGCAGAGCACCUCAAAGCAUAAGGGAAUUGAUAGAAGGCGUGGAGGAAGAAUAUCAAAACUAUGAUGUCAACACGUUAGCUCGAAGCUUCAUGACACUGCAAUCAUGCAUGAGAGAGAUUAUGAGAGAAAAAGGAGGGAUAGGCUACAAGAUUCCUCACAUGCAAAAAGAGCGCCAGCAGCAAGAAGGAAGGCUUCCUAUUGCUCUCUCUUUAAACGUUGAGCUAGUUGAGCAUACCUUAGCACUUAUAGCAGCAGCAGACCUCGAGGCAGCAGCAGCAGCACCUUUGAAGCGGAGAAAGAGAAAGAGGAGCAGCAGCACCCUCCAAGCAGAGAAAGGGAAAGAAGACCAGCAACAUCCUCCAAGCAGCAGUACCCUACAAGCAGUAGCAGCAGCACCACCACCUUCGAAGCAGAGAAAGAGAAAGAAGGGCAGCAGCACCCUCCAAGCAAAGAAAGGGAAAGAAGCAGAGAAAGGGAAAGACGACCAGCAACAUCCUCCAAGCAGCAGUACCCUCCAAGCGGCACCACCUUCGAAGCAGAGAAAGAGAAAGAAGAGCAGCAGCGCCCUCCAAGCAAAGAAAGGAAAAGAAGCAGAGAAAGGGAAAGGAGCAAUUACAUGUCAUUUUUUUGUAUUAAUGUCAGUAAAGGAAAGAAGUAACAGGCAGAAUUCCAAAUCAAAAUUGACCGCUGACCGAGUUCAUCUCUGUUUGUACUAA
Molecule: ribosomal RNA, 1245 nt
Filed under: Triticum aestivum (bread wheat)
Lineage: Eukaryota; Viridiplantae; Streptophyta; Magnoliopsida; Poales; Poaceae
Description: partial small subunit ribosomal RNA
Source: RNAcentral